RNAcentral lists this transfer RNA (76 nucleotides) under Roseibacillus persicicus. RNAcentral's name for it is "tRNA-Arg". It matches the Rfam family "tRNA". Rfam says of the family: Transfer RNA (tRNA) molecules are approximately 80 nucleotides in length. Lineage: Bacteria; Pseudomonadati; Verrucomicrobiota; Verrucomicrobiia; Verrucomicrobiales; Verrucomicrobiaceae. The record is from RNAcentral.
GCUCCCGUAGCCCAAUGGCAACGGCGCCUCGCUUCGAACGAGGAGAUUGCAGGUUCGAGUCCUGCCGGGAGUGCCA